RNAcentral lists this unclassified non-coding RNA (359 nucleotides) under fungal sp. RNAcentral's name for it is "partial internal transcribed spacer region". The stretch from base 1 to 46 matches the Rfam family "Eukaryotic small subunit ribosomal RNA", at positions 1786 to 1831 of the family's 1831-position model. Lineage: Eukaryota; Fungi. The record is from RNAcentral.
AAGUCGUAACAAGGUUUCCGUAGGUGAACCUGCGGAAGGAUCAUUAAUGCUUUUUUUUUUUCUUUGAUCUCUUUUUUUCAAACGAGAGAUGCCAAGUGAACUUUUUUUUCCCAAUAUCUGAAAAAGAAAAACAAAAAAAAACCCAAGAAGAAAAAAGAAAACAGCAAUGAAGGAAAGCCAGAAGCAAAAUGUGUUUCUCUUUCUUUUCUUGUUUUUCUUUUUCUCUCUUUUUUUUUUUUGUUUUCUCUUUCUUUUUUUUUUCAACCCCAACAACAAAUACCAAACCAAAUUGACUAAACGAACCAAGAAACCAAAAUAAAACAAAAAAACAACUCUUAACAAUGGAUAUCUUGGCUCUC